CCUACGGGAGGCAGCAGUGGGGGAUAUUGCACAAUGGGGGAAACCCUGAUGCAGCGACGCCGCGUGUGGGAAGACGGUCCUCUGGAUUGUAAACCACUGUCCCCAGGGACGAAGAUGACGGUACCUGGGGAGGAAGCUCCGCCUAACUACGGGCCAGCAGCCGCGGUAAUACGUAGGGGGCGAGCGUUGUCCGGAAUUACUGGGUGAAAAGGGAGCGUAGGCGGGGAUGCAAGUUGGGUGGAAAAACUACGGGCUAAACAGGUAGUCGCACUCAAAACUGCAGUUCUUGAGUGAAGUAGAGGCAGGCGGAAUUCCUGGUGUAGCGGUGAAAUGCGUAGAGAUUAGGAGGAACACCAGUGGCGAAGGCGGCCUGCUGGGCUUUUACUGACGCUGAGGCUCGAAAGUGUGGGGAGCAAACAGGAUUAGAUACCCCAGUAGUC
This 440-nucleotide ribosomal RNA is filed under the name uncultured bacterium. Its description in RNAcentral is "partial 16S ribosomal RNA". It matches the Rfam family "Bacterial small subunit ribosomal RNA", at positions 338 to 795 of the family's 1533-position model. The record is from RNAcentral.